GACAGAGGAUGCAAGCGUUAUCCGGAAUGAUUGGGCGUAAAGCGUCUGUAGGUGGCUUUUCAAGUCCGCCGUCAAAUCCCAGGGCUCAACCCUGGACAGGCGGUGGAAACUACCAAGCUGGAGUACGGUAGGGGUAGAGGGAAUUUACGGUGGAGCAGUGAAAUGCAUUGAGAUCGGAAAGAACACCAACGGCGAAAGCACUCUGCUGGGCCGACACUGACACUGAGAGAUGAAAGCUAGGGGAGCAAAUGGG
RNAcentral lists this ribosomal RNA (253 nucleotides) under uncultured bacterium. Its description in RNAcentral is "partial 16S ribosomal RNA". It matches the Rfam family "Bacterial small subunit ribosomal RNA", at positions 524 to 776 of the family's 1533-position model. The record is from RNAcentral.